UACGGAGGAUCCAAGCGUUAUCCGGAUUCAUUGGGUUUAAAGGGUGCGUAGGCGGACUGAUAAGUCAGCGGUGAAAUCUCUCGGCUUAACCGAGAAACUGCCGUUGAUACUGUCAGUCUUGAGUACAGAUGAUGUGGGAAUAUGACAUGUAGUGGUGAAAUACUUAGAUAUGUCAUAGAACACCGAUUGCGAAGGCAGCUCACAAAACUGUCACUGACGCUGAGGCACGAAAGCGUGGGGAUCAAACAGG
This 250-nucleotide ribosomal RNA is filed under the name uncultured bacterium. RNAcentral describes it as "partial 16S ribosomal RNA". It matches the Rfam family "Bacterial small subunit ribosomal RNA", at positions 524 to 776 of the family's 1533-position model. The record is from RNAcentral.